GCCUGGGUGGCUCAGUCGGUUAAGCAUCCGACUUCGGCUCAGGUCACGAUUUCGCGGUCCGUGGGUUCGAGCCCCGCGUCAGGCU
Felis catus (domestic cat) is the source of this 85-nucleotide non-coding RNA. Lineage: Eukaryota; Metazoa; Chordata; Mammalia; Carnivora; Felidae. The record is from Rfam.